Microtus oregoni (creeping vole) is the source of this 104-nucleotide small nuclear RNA. The record is from RefSeq and is a predicted model, not a curated record. NCBI's taxonomy places the organism in Eukaryota, Metazoa, Chordata, Mammalia, Rodentia, Cricetidae.
GUGCUCGCUCUGGCAGAACAUAUAGUAAAAUUGGAAUGAUCCAAAGAUUAGCCUGGCUCCUGUGCAAGGAUGACACGCAAAUUCAUGAAGUGUUCCAUAUUUAA